UGGGGAAUAUUGGACAAUGGGCGAAAGCCUGAUCCAGCCAUGCCGCGUGUGUGAAGAAGGUCUUCGGAUUGUAAAGCACUUUAAGUUGGGAGGAAGGGCAGUAAGCGAAUACCUUGCUGUUUUGACGUUACCGACAGAAUAAGCACCGGCUAACUCUGUGCCAGCAGCCGCGGUAAUACAGAGGGUGCAAGCGUUAAUCGGAAUUACUGGGCGUAAAGCGCGCGUAGGUGGUUCGUUAAGUUGAAUGUGAAAGCCCCGGGCUCAACCUGGGAACUGCAUACAAAACUGGCGAGCUAGAGUAGGGCAGAGGGUGGUGGAAUUUCCUGUGUAGCGGUGAAAUGCGUAGAUAUAGGAAGGAACACCAGUGGCGAAGGCGACCACCUGGGAUCAUACUGACACUGAGGUGCGAAAGCGUGGGGAGCAAACAGG
This 429-nucleotide ribosomal RNA is filed under the name Pseudomonadota bacterium. RNAcentral describes it as "Proteobacteria bacterium partial 16S ribosomal RNA". It matches the Rfam family "Bacterial small subunit ribosomal RNA", at positions 355 to 776 of the family's 1533-position model. Lineage: Bacteria; Pseudomonadati; Pseudomonadota. The record is from RNAcentral.